GUCCUGCUGCCGUUACCGCCGCCGCUGCUGCCGCCGCUUGCGCCCCCCCCCCCCCGCUCCGGUCUGUGGUGCAGCCGGGACCCAGGACCAUGUCGCUGUCUCGCUCAGAGGAGAUGCACCGGCUCACGGAAAAUGUCUAUAAGACCAUCAUGGAGCAGUUCAACCCUAGCCUCCGGAACUUCAUCGCCAUGGGGAAGAAUUACGAGAAGGCACUGGCAGGUGUGACGUAUGCAGCCAAAGGCUACUUUGACGCCCUGGUGAAGAUGGGAGAGCUGGCCAGCGAGAGCCAGGGCUCCAAAGAACUCGGAGACGUUCUCUUCCAGAUGGCUGAAGUCCACAGGCAGAUCCAGAAUCAGCUGGAAGAAAUGCUGAAGUCUUUUCACAACGAGCUGCUCACACAGCUGGAGCAGAAGGUGGAGCUGGACUCCAGGUAUCUGAGUGCUGCGCUGAAGAAAUACCAGACUGAGCAAAGGAGCAAAGGCGACGCCCUGGACAAGUGUCAGGCUGAGCUGAAGAAGCUUCGGAAGAAGAGCCAGGGCAGCAAGAAUCCUCAGAAGUACUCGGACAAGGAGCUGCAGGGCUGGCCACUCGAGGGAAGGUGGUACUUCAGGUUCCUCGAGGGAGCGGCUUCAGUGUUGUUUCUCUCACCGUCCCGCCGGCGUCACCG
This 667-nucleotide small RNA is filed under the name Pan troglodytes (chimpanzee). RNAcentral's name for it is "processed transcript". Lineage: Eukaryota; Metazoa; Chordata; Mammalia; Primates; Hominidae. The record is from RNAcentral.